This 468-nucleotide ribosomal RNA is filed under the name uncultured bacterium. Its description in RNAcentral is "partial 16S ribosomal RNA". It matches the Rfam family "Bacterial small subunit ribosomal RNA", at positions 28 to 507 of the family's 1533-position model. The record is from RNAcentral.
GACGAACGCUGGCGGCGUGCUUAACACAUGCAAGUCGAACGGAAAGGCCCACCUUUUGUUGGGUGCUCGAGUGGCGCGCGGGUGUGUAACACCGGAAUGACCUGCCCUUGGCUGUGGGAUAUCUUCAGGAAAAUGGGGAUAAUACCUAAUAGGAGCUCCUGCUGCAUGGUGGGGGUUGGAAAGUUGCGGCUGUGGGGGGUGGACUCGCGGCUUAUCAGCUUGUUGGGGGGGGAGUGGCUGAGCCAGCCUUCGACGGGUAGGCGGCCUGGGAGGGUGACCAGCCACAAUGGGACUGAGAGACGGCCCAGACGCCAACGUGAGGCAGCAGGGGCGAACAUUGCACAAUGGGCGCGAGCGUGAUGCAGAAACGCCGCGUGCGGGAUGACGGCCCUCGGGUGGAAAACCGCUUUCGCCUGAGACGAAGCGUGAGUGACGGUAAUGGAUAAAGAAGCACCGGCUAACUACGUG